This 468-nucleotide ribosomal RNA is filed under the name uncultured bacterium. RNAcentral's name for it is "partial 16S ribosomal RNA". It matches the Rfam family "Bacterial small subunit ribosomal RNA", at positions 28 to 507 of the family's 1533-position model. The record is from RNAcentral.
GACGAACGCUGGCGGCGUGCUUAACACAUGCAAGUCGAACGGAAAGGCCCUGCUUUUGUGGGGUGCUCGAGUGGCGAACGGGUGAGUAACACGUGAGUAACCUGCCCUUGACUUUGGGAUAACUUCAGGAAACUGGGGCUAAUACCGGAUAGGAGCUCCUGCUGCAUGGUGGGGGUUGGAAAGUUUCGGCGGUUGGGGAUGGACUCGCGGCUUAUCAGCUUGUUGGUGGGGUAGUGGCUUACCAAGGCUUUGACGGGUAGCCGGCCUGAGAGGGGGACCGGGCACAUUGGGACUGAGAUACGGCCCAGACUCCUACGGGAGGCAGCAGUGGGGAAUAUUGCACAAUGGGCGGAAGCCUGAUGCAGCAACGCCGCGUGCGGGAUGACGGCCUUCGGGUUGUAAACCGCUUUCGCCUGUGACGAAGCGUGAGUGACGGUAAUGGGUAAAGAAGCACCGGCUAACUACGUG